RNAcentral lists this unclassified non-coding RNA (335 nucleotides) under soil metagenome. RNAcentral describes it as "partial contains 5.8S ribosomal RNA, internal transcribed spacer 2, and large subunit ribosomal RNA". The stretch from base 1 to 120 matches the Rfam family "5.8S ribosomal RNA", at positions 35 to 154 of the family's 154-position model. The record is from RNAcentral.
GAUGAAGAACGCAGCGAAAUGCGAUAAGUAAUGUGAAUUGCAGAAUUCAGUGAAUCAUCGAAUCUUUGAACGCACAUUGCGCCCGGUAGUAUUCUGCCGGGCAUGCCUGUUCGAGCGUCAUUUCAACCAUCAAGCCCCAGCGCUUGUGUUGGGGGCCUGCGGCUGCCGCAGCCCCCCAAAAGCAGUGGCGGGCUCGCUAUCACACCGAGUGCAGUAGUUUACUCUUCGCUCAGGGCGUGUGGCGGGUGCUAGCCGUAAAACCCCCAACUUCUCAAGGUUGACCUCGGAUCAGGUAGGAAUACCCGCUGAACUUAAGCAUAUCAAUAAGCGGAGGA